This 468-nucleotide ribosomal RNA is filed under the name uncultured bacterium. RNAcentral describes it as "partial 16S ribosomal RNA". It matches the Rfam family "Bacterial small subunit ribosomal RNA", at positions 28 to 507 of the family's 1533-position model. The record is from RNAcentral.
GACGAACGCUGGCGGCGCGCCUAACACAUGCAAGUCGAACGGAGCUGAGAGAAGCUUGCUUUUCUUAGCUUAGUGGCGAACGGGUGAGUAACGCGUGAGUAACCUGCCCUGGAGUGGGGGACAACAGUUUGAAACGACUGCUAAUACCGCAUAAGCCCACGAUCCGGCAUCGGAUUGAGGGAAAAGGAUUUAUUCGCUUCAGGAUGGACUCGCGUCCAAUUAGCUAGUUGGUGAGGUAACGGCCCACCAAGGCGACGAUUGGUAGCCGGACUGAGAGGUUGAACGGCCACAUUGGGACUGAGACACGGCCCAGACUCCUACGGGAGGCAGCAGUGGGGGAUAUUGCACAAUGGGGGAAACCCUGAUGCAGCGACGCCGCGUGGAGGAAGAAGGUUUUCGGAUUGUAAACUCCUGUCGUUAGGGACGAUAAUGACGGUACCUAACAAGAAAGCACCGGCUAACUACGUG